CAGUCGCCGCGGGAAUACAGAGGGUGCGAGCGUUAAUCGGAUUUACUGGGCGUAAAGCGUGCGUAGGCGGCUUCUUAAGUCGGAUGUGAAAUCCCUGAGCUUAACUUAGGAAUUGCAUUCGAUACUGGGAAGCUAGAGUAUGGGAGAGGAUGGUAGAAUUCCAGGUGUAGCGGUGAAAUGCGUAGAGAUCUGGAGGAAUACCGAUGGCGAAGGCAGCCAUCUGGCCUAAUACUGACGCUGAGGUACGAAAGCAUGGGGAGCAAACAGGAUUAGAGACCCGCGUAGUCCCUGUCUCUUAUAC
Molecule: ribosomal RNA, 301 nt
Filed under: uncultured bacterium
Lineage: Bacteria
Description: partial 16S ribosomal RNA
Rfam family: Bacterial small subunit ribosomal RNA
Source: RNAcentral